CUCAUUAAUUAUAUAUUGUUAUAAUUUGAUUUUAAUAAUCUUAUUGUGCAUUUAAAAUUCCUAAACAGCUAAAUGUGCUUUUUCUUGAUUGAAAUUUCAGGUGUUCACGCUCAUAAUUAGAAAUUAAAGCUUAACUAAAUUUCUAAGAUGAUUCGUGGAAAGAGAAGUGUAUUCAGCUUGAUGCAUUGUUGUUUAGAAACUAAAUGGUUCAGCUGGAAGCGCAUGUGCUUAGUUUACUAGUUUGUUACUCUGUUAAUUCGGUUAUGUCAUUUGAUUUUGUAUCAUCGUGUUUAAUGUAGAUUUGCUAGCUUCAACCUACUAGUUGCUAUAAAUAAAUAAGUAAUCAUGUUG
RNAcentral lists this long non-coding RNA (351 nucleotides) under Trifolium pratense (red clover). RNAcentral describes it as "long non-coding RNA (TPRA_LNC011162)". Lineage: Eukaryota; Viridiplantae; Streptophyta; Magnoliopsida; Fabales; Fabaceae. The record is from RNAcentral.